AUUGAACGCUGGCGGCAGGCCUAACACAUGCAAGUCGAGCGGAUGAAGGGAGCUUGCUCCUGGAUUCAGCGGCGGACGGGUGAGGAAUGCCUAGGAAUCUGCCUGGUAGUGGGGGAUAACGUCCGGAAACGGGCGCUAAUACCGCAUACGUCCUGAGUGGGAAAGUGGGGGAUCUUCGGACCUCACGCUAUCAGAUGAGCCUAGGUCGGAUUAGCUAGUUGGUGGGGUAAAGGCCUACCAAGGCGACGAUCCGUAACUGGUCUGAGAGGAUGAUCAGUCACACUGGAACUGAGACACGGUCCAGACUCCUACGGGAGGCAGCAGUGGGGAAUAUUGGACAAUGGGCGCAAGCCUGAUCCAGCCAUGCCGCGUGUGUGAAGAAGGUCUUCGGAUUGUAAAGCACUUUAAGUUGGGAGGAAGGGCAGUAAGUUAAUACCUUGCUGUUUUGACGUUACCAACAGAAUAAGCACCGGCUAACUUCGUG
Molecule: ribosomal RNA, 484 nt
Filed under: uncultured bacterium
Lineage: Bacteria
Description: partial 16S ribosomal RNA
Rfam family: Bacterial small subunit ribosomal RNA
Source: RNAcentral